GCAUAUCAAUAAGCGGAGGAAAAGAAACUAACAAGGAUUCCCCUAGUAGCGGCGAGCGAAGCGGGAAGAGCUCAAAUUUAUAAUCUGGCACCUUCGGUGUCCGAGUUGUAAUCUCUAGAAAUGUUUUCCGCGCUGGACCGCACACAAGUCUGUUGGAAUACAGCGGCAUAGUGGUGAGACCCCCGUAUAUGGUGCGGAUGCCCAGCGCUUUGUGAUACAUUUUCGAAGAGUCGAGUUGUUUGGGAAUGCAGCUCAAAUUGGGUGGUAAAUUCCAUCUAAAGCUAAAUAUUGGCGAGAGACCGAUAGCGAACAAGUACCGUGAGGGAAAGAUGAAAAGCACUUUGGAAAGAGAGUUAACAGUACGUGAAAUUGUUGGAAGGGAAACGCUUGAAGUCAGACUUGCUUGCCGAGCAAUCGGUUUGCAGGCCAGCAUCAGUUUUCCGGGAUGGAUAAUGGUAGAGAGAAGGUAGCAGUUUCGGCUGUGUUAUAGCUCUCUACUGGAUACAUCUUGGGGGACUGAGGAACGCAGUGUGCCUUACGGCGGGGGUUUCGACCUCUUCACACUUAGGAUGCUGGUGGAAUGGCUUUAAACGACCCGUCUUGAAACACGGACC
Molecule: ribosomal RNA, 614 nt
Filed under: Rhodotorula mucilaginosa
Lineage: Eukaryota; Fungi; Basidiomycota; Microbotryomycetes; Sporidiobolales; Sporidiobolaceae
Description: LSU rRNA
Rfam family: Eukaryotic large subunit ribosomal RNA
Source: RNAcentral